This 2743-nucleotide long non-coding RNA is filed under the name Capra hircus (goat). RNAcentral describes it as "lncRNA (ENSCHIG00010025479.1)". Lineage: Eukaryota; Metazoa; Chordata; Mammalia; Artiodactyla; Bovidae. The record is from RNAcentral.
CCAGGAGUUGGUGAUGGACAGGGAGGCCUGGCGUGCUGCGGUUCAUGAGGCUGCAAAGAGGCGGACACGAUUGAGCGACUGAACUGAACUGAACUGAACUAGCCAUACUUUUUUUGAAGGAUGAAUAGCUUUUCAGACUCUCCUUUUUUCUUACAACAAAGAGUAGGCAGCCACUAUGUCCCAGGUGUCAAAAUAGUAACUGAGAGAUAGGACACAGGCCCUUCCCUUUGAGAAGUCUGGUAGGAGGGUCAUGUGAAUAGUGACAAUAAUGUCCUAGAUGUAAAAACAGAAGUGAGAAGUGUGUGCAAGAUGCAUCAAAGGCCAGAGGAAGGAACUGUCCGUUCUAUAGCGGGACGUGAGAGAAAGGGUCGGAGCAGGGAGCUGGCUGAGGCAAGGAGCCGUGUGUAGCAGGAAAGCUGUGCUCAGGUACUGCGACUGGGCUUUUUUGGGUCCAAGUACUAAGAGAGUUGCUGGGGGGUGUGAGACCACCACCCAGCAGCUGGGUGCAAGCCUGGUGGUUUCAGGCCAGCUGCCUGUGGACGAGCCAUGAGAUCUGGGGAGAAGUUUGACCACUGGACUCUGGUUCCCACUCCUUCACACAUGAACUAGUGGCCUGAAGCCCCACGCUUGACCGCUCAGCUCCACGUCCUCAAGCCUAAACUGGAGAUUACGAUAACACUAGUCACAUCUUCUUGGCAGGGGUGACGUGAGUAAAUGGGAUGAUACAAGUGAAGGGCCUCCGACAGAGCCCAGACGUGCAGUUUAUGUAAAGUGGGAGCUAGCUGAUCUCCCUGCCAGUGUCCCCUGGAGGCAGGCCUGUGUGUGGGGGCAGGGGGCACAGGGAGGAAGGGCAGUGGGGUUCCAGGUCUGUGGGCAGGGACAAGCCCACUCUUGCUCUAUCAGGGGCUGAGAGGUGGUGUUCUUUGGUGGAUCCCAGACUGGGUUAGUCACAGGGGCUGCCUGUGUGAGCCUGGCUGGCUUGUGCCCUUUGUGCUUUUUCUCGCCUCUUUUCUAAACCAGGCCUCUUUUGGCAAUGCAAGCCUAUCUGUGACAACUGCCCGAUGGCCAGGGCUUGGCCUAUCUGACCCUGGGCCUGGUCAAGGUCUGGGGCAGGAAUCUUUCAGAGUGCAGAAGCUCCAAGAUGGGUCUGACCGUGGGAGGUAGGCCUGCUCCAAGGAUGGCACCUCCAUAGCUCUCCAGGCCCUGGCUCUAGCCCAAGGCUCAGGCCGGGCAGAGCAUCACAGCAUCAGGGGUCUUCUCAAGGGCCCAGUGCUGACCUGGCCUUCGUGCAGGCUGCUCUGGGAGGGGCUCCAUUGAGACGGGUCUCGUGAAAGGCCAGUUACCUGCCAGUGCUUGGCGUCCAAAAUAGAAUCUGAAGGAGCAGCAAAGCCUUUAAUUCAAUGUGUCUCAACAGUGGGUCGGUGUGGGGAUAACUAUGAUCUGACCGGUCUUGGGCUAUAAUUACGGAGUCAGAAUAAAAAAUUACAGGCAUUGUGUGGGCUUGUUUUAAAUAUAACGUAAUCCACACCGUCCUCUCUCUUAUUUGCUAGAUUUGAGGUGCAGUCUUGGGCAGUUGGCACAGGUUCUGCCUGACGUGUAGCAGAUAAAAAUGGCCCUUACCCAGUGAAAAGGGCAUGGCAGGAGGCCUCCCCAGACCCCUAAUGUUCCUGACUGCCCACGGCCCGUAACCCACAAGCACACGUGCACAUAGGUCCGCGCAGGCCUCUGUCGUCCACGUGAUCUGUGCCUGGCAUCUCCCCCACCAGCCUCCCUGCCUCCAGCCUCCCCCAGCCAGUCCACCAGAAAUAUCUUUGUAAAACACAGUCUUGAGGCUUAAGACCCAUUAAUGGCGCCCCUCUGUCCAUAGGGUAAAUCCAUCCAAACUCUUAGUUCUUUCAGGUCUUGGCCCCAAACCACCUUUCAGCAUCAUGUCUGGUAACAACAAGCAGCCAUAGAACUGAGGUGAAGGGGCCGGGGUUCCUGACUAUGUGGGAUUAAACUCACAGGCUCCAUGUCUCAUGAGCUGAGUGAGAGUCUGAACAGGUUAUCCCAUCCACGUGCUUUAGCUCCCUGAUACUGUAGGUUGUUGAGAGGAUGGCAUGAGAUAACACAUUCCUGGGAUGACCGCAGGCAUGUCCCUUUUCCUCACCGAGUCUCAAAUUACCUAUUAAAAGGAGGCGAUAGACUCAUUGCUUUUCGGAUCAGUAAAUGUUUUUAAAGUGAUAUUUCUUCACGUAGUUGUAUGUGGUGAGACAAAUACAUGUUGUUAGCUCAACCUUUCUGGCAAGCAAAGUCGAAAGACUAAAAACAUGUUUAUACCCUAUCAGUGUGAAUAAUCUAAGGGAAAAUUCAAAUUGUGGACAAGGAUUUAUAUUUAAAAGAUUUUUACCUCAGUGUUUCCCCGCCACCCCGGUGUGUUUUUACAUCCUUGAAAAACAAAAAAACAUAAUGACAAACAUUGGGAUAACAGUAAGUAUUGGGUUAGCCAAAAGUUCAUCUAGGGUUUUCCAUAGUAAACCCUGAACAAAUUAACUUUUUGGCUAACUUAGUAUCUAUUUAUUUGUGUGUCUCACUCAAAACUUGUAGGUAGGAAUUAAAAGUGUUUAUGAAGAAUAUUUCACUAUGCUGAAAAUGCUUAUCAUGUAUAAUUUAAAGUGAAUAAAGUACAUAUAAAAUUGUAUAAUGUAUACUGUAUGAUCUUGGUGAUAAUGAAAAUAUUAUUUUUAUUUAUAAUUAAAAUUAU